Zea mays is the source of this 2752-nucleotide RNA transcript. RefSeq lists it as uncharacterized. Lineage: Eukaryota; Viridiplantae; Streptophyta; Magnoliopsida; Poales; Poaceae. The record is from RefSeq and is marked validated. The transcript is spliced from 5 exons.
GUGCUCCAGCCUUUUCGUAUAGUUUAAUGGUUUUCUAGUCGUCCGUCCUCCUCGGUUCUGGCUGCCAACCCCAAGAACUGCCUUGCCUAGUGCCUACUGCCUAGGGAAGGACCGAAGGAGAGGUGCGCGGCUGGUGGCGUGCGAGUGGCAGCGGCGCCGCGGGACUCUUCUCCUCGCCGCUCGCCUGCUGGGUGCGCCAUCCCUCGACGCCUUGCAGGCGUAUUUGGAAGAUCUGGGCGCCGUUGGAGACUUGGAGUGCAAGUUCUUUCUCUGGAUGGCGGCACACGAGCGGUGCUGGACGUCAGGCCGCGUGGCUCACCAUGGACUGCCUGUCUGCCCCCACCCUCCACGCUGCCCUUUAUGUGACCAGGAGACGGGCGGGCCCCAUUCAAUUCAAGGGUGACACCGUGAUAUUGCUGUGAAGUUUUGUGGCACUUCCUGCAUCCCUUAUAUGGUAUUAACAAAAAUUUUAAUUGUCUGGGUGAUCCAUUUGAGCAAAUGGAAGGCAACGAUGUACCCCUUGGAAACAUGUUGCAAGGGGUUCCCUAUGAAAGUUUAGACUUACGUGGCAGCUCUAUGCAAAAUUAUGCUCCAAACUCAGGAAAACAUAUCUUCAGCAGCUCCCAGAUGCCAGGUACUUUCACAAUGUCUAUGACCAGGGCUACAGAGCCUGAUGACUUUCCUGGGUUUCAGUUCAAAGAACAGGGAAAGAGUGAUGACCACCACCACCAACACCAUAGUCAUCACUCAAAGAACUGCAAGAGUGAUGGUGAGGAACAUGUUGUGGCUGAAGAUGCUACUGAUACCCCAAGUGGCAAAGGCAAGAAGGGCUCUGCAUGGCAUCGGAUGAAGUGGACAGAUUCAAUGGUAAAACUUUUGAUAACAGCAGUGUCUUACACUGGAGAUGAUCAUGGUGCUGAUUCCGGCGGUGGCAGGAGGAACUUCACAAUAAUGCAGAAGAAGGGCAAAUGGAAGGCGAUAUCGAAAGUUAUGGGAGAGAGAGGCUGCCAUGUGUCACCGCAACAGUGCGAGGACAAGUUCAAUGACCUUAACAAGAGAUACAAAAGGCUGACAGACAUCCUUGGUAGGGGCACUGCAUGCAAUGUUGUGGCUAAUCCAGCACUUCUUGAUAGCAUGACUCAUCUUUCAGAUAAGAUGAAAGACGAUGCAAAAAAGAUACUUAGCUCAAAGCACCUAUUUUAUGAGGAGAUGUGUUCCUACCACAACAACAACCGUGUAAAUUUGCCUGAAGAUCAUGCACUUCAGCAUUCACUACUGCUUGCCCUUAGAUGUAAAGAGGAGCAUGAUCCUCAGAGGGAUCCAAGUGGAGAUGCUGAUGAAUACGAUCAAAGUGCUGAUUCUGAUUAUGAGGAGAAUGACGACGAUCAACAUCCUGUGCAUAUAAACAUGAGGGAGCCCUCAAUGCACAAAAGGAAGCGCCACAGUGAUGUGGCUUUGGUCACAUCAAGUUCUCAUGAAGGCAGUGAGAGGUCUGAUCCCCAUGCUGUCACAGUGGACAUCAACAAGGCUUUCACAGAUGCAACCAACAUGGUUUUGUUGCAACAAGACUUGGCUUCACAAGCCAUAGAGAUUCAGAAACGUCGCUUGCAGAUUGAAGCAAAGGAACUGGAACUCACAAAGCAACGUCUUAAGUGGGAGCGGUUCAGGAAGAAGAAGGACAGAGAGAUAGAAAGGAUUGCAUUGGAGAAUGAACAUAUGAUGAUUGAGAACAAACGCUUGGAGCUUGAGCUGAGACAUAAGGAGUUAGAGCUAGAGCUGAAGCUGAAAGACAAGGGGAACCAUCCGUAACUUUUGCUUGACCAACACUACAGUAUGUAAGAUGGUAAACAAGUUGCGGUUGAGCUUCUGGAAGAGAGCUGGUAGAUUAGAGUAGACUCUGACAACCAUUCCUCAUGUAUGUCAUGGUGAUGUGGCUAUGGCCAACUCUGAAGCUCUCAUGGAGGUAGUGAGAAGUCUGCUGAUCCACGUAGCAUCGCAGUGGACAUCAACAAUGCUCUCCCGGAUGGAACCAACUUGGCUUUAUUUUUUAUUUUUUUUGCAACAGGAUUUGGUUUCACAAGCACUAGAGAUUCAGGAACCUUAACAUGCAGUGAAGCGACCUAACUGGAACUCCGGAAAGCGACGUCUCAAGUGGAAGCCAGAAUGGACAUAUCAAUAUUUAUUGAGUGAGGAAUGAGAACAAACGAUUUGACUUGAGCUGAGAGCCUGAGACGUGCAAGCAGCUAGAGUGGCAAAAAGGCCAAGCGAACCACUGCAUAAGGGUAGGUAUGGUAAUGGAUUACAAUUCAAAUGUUUCUUCAUAACUAAUUAGGAGUCUUCAAUAAUUUUAGUUUAAAAAUAAAUAGAAAUAGAGCUAUAUUCGAUUCUUAAAAUUUAUAGUAUAUUACCAUCCCUAUCCGAGGUUGAUCAACCCUUCCAUUUGUAAGGCAAUCUAUAGCAGACUUUUUUUUUUAUCAUACCUCCUAUCCUACUUUCUAUUUUAAAUUUCAUUAUAUAAAUAGCAUAAACAGUGUUUUGCAUAAUUAUAUGUACGAUCUGUUGACCAGAGCCUAAAGGUGUUAAAUUAGUUAGUGAUGCGCAAGCUAAACCUGAGAAAAGUUCAUGUUGAGUGGUAGACAUUGCAUAACCUCUCAUGCCCCCAUACGUGUUGGCUGCUGACCAUGACAGUGCACGAUUUCUGUAUUUGACUAACAGACUAAAGUAUAACUAGGAGUGGAGAUUCAGUUUGUUA